This 416-nucleotide long non-coding RNA is filed under the name Helianthus annuus (common sunflower). Its description in RNAcentral is "hypothetical non coding rna". Lineage: Eukaryota; Viridiplantae; Streptophyta; Magnoliopsida; Asterales; Asteraceae. The record is from RNAcentral.
CGUAAUCGUAAUCGUAAUCGUAAUCCGAUUCGAAUCCAUCGGAACUACUACUACUGCUGCUACUACUGCUACUACUGCUACUACUGCUACUACUGCUACUACUGCGACUACUGCCUGCUGCCUGCUGCUGCUGCUGCUGCUGCUGCUGCUGCUGCUGCUGCUCCUGCUCCUGCUGCUCCUGCUCCUGCUGCUGCUCCUGCUGCUCCUGCUCCUCCUGCUGCUCCUGCUGCUCCUGCUGCCCCUGCUGCCCCUGCUGCCCCUGCUGCUGCUGCUGCUGCUCCUGCUCCUGCUGCUGCUGCUGCUGCUCCUGCUCCUGCUGCUGCUGCUGCUCCUGCUCCUGCUGCUGCUCCUGCUCCUGCUCCUGCUACUGCUACUGCUACUGCUACUGCUACUGCUACUGCUACUGCUACUGCUAC